CCUACGGGAGGCAGCAGUAGGGAAUUUUCGUCAAUGGGCGCAAGCCUGAACGAGCGAUGCCGCGUGAGUGAAGAAGGCCUUCGGGUCGUAAAGCUCUGUUGCGGGGGAAAAAAGGCAGCAUCAGGAAAUGGGUGCUGACUGAUGGUGCCCCGCCAGAAAGUCACGGCUAACUACGUGCCAGCAGCCGCGGUAAUACGUAGGUGGCGAGCGUUAUCCGGAAGGAUUGGGCGUAAAGGGUGCGCAGGCGGUCCUGCAAGUCUGGAGUGAAACGCAUGAGCUCAACUCAUGCAUGGCUUUGGAAACUGGAGGACUGGAGAGCAGGAGAGGGCGGUGGAACUCCAUGUGUAGCGGUAAAAUGCGUAGAUAUAUGGAAGAACACCAGCGGCGAAGGCGGCCGCCUGGCCUGUUGCUGACGCUGAGGCACGAAAGCGUGGGGAGCAAAUAGGAUUAGAUACCCCAGUAGUC
Molecule: ribosomal RNA, 465 nt
Filed under: uncultured bacterium
Lineage: Bacteria
Description: partial 16S ribosomal RNA
Rfam family: Bacterial small subunit ribosomal RNA
Source: RNAcentral